This 288-nucleotide ribosomal RNA is filed under the name uncultured bacterium. RNAcentral's name for it is "partial 16S ribosomal RNA". It matches the Rfam family "Bacterial small subunit ribosomal RNA", at positions 775 to 1067 of the family's 1533-position model. The record is from RNAcentral.
GGAUUAGAUACCCUGGUAGUCCACGCUGUAAACGAUGAUCACUAGGUGCUCGAUUUUCGGAUUGAGUGCCCAAGCGAAAGCGAUAAGUGAUCCACCUGGGGAGUACGUUCGCAAGAAUGAAACUCAAAGGAAUUGACGGGGGCCCGCACAAGCGGUGGAGCAUGUGGUUUAAUUCGAUGAUACGCGAGGAACCUUACCUGGGCUAGAAUGCCUCUGCCACCUUCCGAAAGGAGGGGUUCCUUCGGGACAGAGUGCAAGGUGCUGCAUGGUUGUCGUCAGCUCGUGCUG